GAAUGCUGCGGUGAAUGCGUUCCCGGGUCUUGUACACACCGCCCGUCACACCACGGGAGUUGGAGACGCCCGAAGCCGAUUAUCUAACCUUUUGGAAGAAGUCGUCGAAGGUGGAAUCAAUAACUGGGGUGAAGUCGUAACAAGGUAGCCGUAUCGGAAGGUGCGGCUGGAUCACCUCCUUUCUAAGGAGA
RNAcentral lists this ribosomal RNA (191 nucleotides) under Clostridioides difficile. Its description in RNAcentral is "partial 16S ribosomal RNA". It matches the Rfam family "Bacterial small subunit ribosomal RNA", at positions 1352 to 1533 of the family's 1533-position model. Lineage: Bacteria; Bacillati; Bacillota; Clostridia; Peptostreptococcales; Peptostreptococcaceae. The record is from RNAcentral.